This is a small nucleolar RNA of Hibiscus syriacus, 132 nucleotides long. RefSeq annotates it as small nucleolar RNA snoR74. The record is from RefSeq and is a predicted model, not a curated record. NCBI's taxonomy places the organism in Eukaryota, Viridiplantae, Streptophyta, Magnoliopsida, Malvales, Malvaceae. The transcript has a single exon.
AAAAAAGCAGGGUCUUGUUGCCUUUUGUAAACUAGAUUCUUGUAAACUUCAGGAAAAUUACCAGUGCAUUGUGCUUGGGUGAAUCUCUGGAUUUUAUUGGUGUCGGAAGGUUCAGUAAAUGAUGCUACAUUU